RNAcentral lists this ribosomal RNA (497 nucleotides) under uncultured bacterium. RNAcentral describes it as "partial 16S ribosomal RNA". It matches the Rfam family "Bacterial small subunit ribosomal RNA", at positions 28 to 507 of the family's 1533-position model. The record is from RNAcentral.
GAUGAACGCUGGCGGCGUGCCUAAUACAUGCAAGUCGAGCGAACGGACGAGAAGCUUGCGUCUCUGAUGUUAGCGGCGGACGGGUGAGUAACACGUGGAUAACCUACCUAUAAGACUGGGAUAACUUCGGGAAACCGGAGCUAAUACCGGAUGAUAUUUUGAACCGCAUGGUUCAAAAGUGAAAGACGGUCUUGCUGUCACUUAUAGAUGGAUCCGCGCUGCAUUAGCUAGUUGGUAAGGUAACGGCUUACCAAGGCAACGAUGCAUAGCCGACCUGAGAGGGUGAUCGGCCACACUGGAACUGAGACACGGUCCAGACUCCUACGGGAGGCAGCAGUAGGGAAUCUUCCGCAAAGGGCGAAAGCCUGACGGAGCAACGCCGCGUGAGUGAUGAAGGUCUUCGGAUCGUAAAACUCUGUUAUUAGGGAAGAACAUAUGUGUAAGUAACUGUGCACAUCUUGACGGUACCUAAUCAGAAAGCCACGGCUAACUACGUG